RNAcentral lists this transfer RNA (64 nucleotides) under Delma torquata. RNAcentral's name for it is "tRNA-Cys". Lineage: Eukaryota; Metazoa; Chordata; Lepidosauria; Squamata; Pygopodidae. The record is from RNAcentral.
AAGCCCCGGUACCACCUUUGGUACUUCUUCAAAUUUGCAAUUUGACGUGGGUCACCACGGAGCU